AUGCAGUCGAGGGGUAACGGGGUGCUUGCACCGCCGACGACCGGCGCACGGGUGCGCAACGCGUAUACAAUCUACCUUAUGCUGAGGGAUAGCCCAGAGAAAUUUGGAUUAAGACCUCAUGGUAUCGGAAGACGGCAUCGUUUUCUGAUUAAAGGUUACGGCAUAAGAUGAGUAUGCGUCCCAUUAGCUAGUUGGUGUGGUAACGGCACACCAAGGCAACGAUGGGUAGGGGUCCUGAGAGGGAGAUCCCCCACACUGGUACUGAGACACGGACCAGACUCCUACGGGAGGCAGCAGUGAGGAAUAUUGGACAAUGGACGAAAGUCUGAUCCAGCCAUGCCGCGUGCAGGAAGACGGUCCUAUGGAUUGUAAACUGCUUUUAUACGGGAAGAAUAAGGGCUACGUGUAGCCCGGUGACGGUACCGUAAGAAUAAGGAUCGGCUAACUCCGUGCCAGCAGCCGCGGUAAUACGGAGGAUCCAAGCGUUAUCCGGAAUCAUUGGGUUUAAAGGGUCCGUAGGCGGACUAUUAAGUCAGGGGUGAAAGUCUGCAGCUCAACUGUAGAAUUGCCUUUGAUACUGGUAGUCUUGAGUUAUGGUGAAGUGGCUAGAAUAUGUAGUGUAGCGGUGAAAUGCAUAGAUAUUACAUAGAAUACCGAUUGCGAAGGCAGGUCACUAACCAUACACUGACGCUGAUGGACGAAAGCGUGGGGAGCGAACAGGAUUAGAUACCCUGGUAGUCCACGCCGUAAACGAUGGAUACUAGCUGUUCGGACUUCGGUCUGAGCGGCCAAGCGAAAGUGAUAAGUAUCCCACCUGGGGAGUACGUUCGCAGAUUGAAACUCAAAGGAAUUGACGGGGGCCCGCACAAGCGGUGGAGCAUGUGGUUUAAUUCGAUGAUACGCGAGGAACCUUACAGGGCUAAAUGUGGUCCUGACAGCUUUAAAGAUAGAGCUUCUUCGGAAAGAUCACAAGUGCUGCAUGGUUGUCGUCAGCUCGUGCCGUGAGGGGUCAGGUUAAGUCCUUAAACGAGCGCACCCCUGGGGUUAGUUGCAAGCGAGGAAUGACCGGGAACUCUAGCAAGACUGCCGGUGCCAACGUUA
This 1101-nucleotide ribosomal RNA is filed under the name Flavobacteriaceae bacterium WH10-7-5. RNAcentral's name for it is "bacterial SSU rRNA". It matches the Rfam family "Bacterial small subunit ribosomal RNA", at positions 55 to 1168 of the family's 1533-position model. The record is from RNAcentral. Lineage: Bacteria; Pseudomonadati; Bacteroidota; Flavobacteriia; Flavobacteriales; Flavobacteriaceae.